This 1008-nucleotide ribosomal RNA is filed under the name Mycoplasma suis. RNAcentral describes it as "bacterial SSU rRNA". It matches the Rfam family "Bacterial small subunit ribosomal RNA", at positions 324 to 1351 of the family's 1533-position model. The record is from RNAcentral. Lineage: Bacteria; Bacillati; Mycoplasmatota; Mollicutes; Mycoplasmatales; Mycoplasmataceae.
CCUUGGCCCAUAUUCCUGCGGGAAGCAGCAGUGAGGAAUUUUUCACAAUGGACGAAAGUCUGAUGGAGCAAUACCACGUGAACGAUGAAGGUCUUCUGAUUGUAAAGUUCUUUUAUUUAGGAAAAAAAGCGCUACAGGAAAUGGUCGCGCCCUGAUUGUACUAAUUGAAUAAGUGACAGCUAACUAUGUGCCAGCAGCUGCGGUAAAACAUAGGUCACGAGCAUUAUCCGGAUUUAUUGGGCGUAAAGGAAGCGUAGGCUGAAGUGUGUAUCCAUUGUUAAAAGUACUUGCUUAACAAGUGUUCGCGGUGGAGAUUACACUUCUAGAAUUAGUUAGAGGGCACUGGAAUUCAAUGUGUAGUGGUGGAAUACGUAGAUAUAUUGAGGAACACCGGAGGCUAAGGCGAGUGCCUGGGACAUAAUUGACGCUGAGGCUUGAAAGCGUGGGUAGCAAAUGGGAUUAGAUACCCCAGUAGUCCACGCCGUAAACGAUGGGUAUUAGUCAUUUGAAUUUAAGUUGAGUGAUGUAGCUAACGCGUUAAAUACCCCGCCUGGGUAGUAUAUAUGCAAAUAUGAAACUCAAAGAAAUUGACGGGGACCUGAACAAGUGGUGGAGCAUGUUGCUUAAUUCGAUAAUACACGCAAAACCUUACCAAGGCUUGCAAUCUUCUGCAAAGCUAUAGAAAUAUAGUGGAGGCUAUCAGAAUGACAGGUGGUGCAUGGCUGUCGUCAACUCGUGUCUUGAGAUGUUUGGUUAAGUCCCGUAACGAGCGCAACCCUUCAUAUUAGUUGUUUAGUUCUAAUAUGACUGAAUCGUAAGAUCUAGGAAGGAUGGGGCCAAGUCAAGUCAUCAUGCCCCUUAUGCCUUGGGCUGCAAACGUGCUACAAUGGUAGAUACAAUGUGUUACAAUCUAGCGAUAGUGAGUUAAUCACCUAAAGUCUAUCUCAGUCCGGAUAAAAGGCUGCAAUUCGCCUAUUUGAAGAUGGAAUCACUAGUAAUCCCGUAAGG